This is a non-coding RNA of Cyanistes caeruleus (blue tit), 303 nucleotides long. The record is from RefSeq and is a predicted model, not a curated record. Lineage: Eukaryota; Metazoa; Chordata; Aves; Passeriformes; Paridae.
CUGCGAAUGGGCCUUCCUGAAGAGCUGGUGCUGUGGUGAGGGCGUUUCUUCGCAUGAAGGUGCUCAUCAUCUGUACCGGCAGCAAAUAUGAUAUGAACUAGUUAAUGACCCAGAUGGUUGGCUGAGUGUGGAUGAGAGCUCAGUUAUUAUUACUGUGGCAAAAGAAUCAAGAAUCCCCCUUCUUGCACAACAACAUGUAUACCAUUAUUGUUCAUGCUACAAAUCAUGGGCAGUCAGUUGAACUUUUGAUGUUAAGAAGCCUCCCACAAGGCAGCUACUUGGUGCUCAUCAUUAUUCAGGACA